Molecule: ribosomal RNA, 253 nt
Filed under: uncultured bacterium
Lineage: Bacteria
Description: partial 16S ribosomal RNA
Rfam family: Bacterial small subunit ribosomal RNA
Source: RNAcentral
UACGUAGGGGGCAAGCGUUGUCCGGAUUUAUUGGGCGUAAAGAGCGUGUAGGCGGCCUGACAGGUCUGCUGUGAAAACUCGAGGCUCAACCUCGAGAUGUCGGCGGAAACCGUCUGGCUAGAGUCCGGAAGAGGAGAGUGGAAUUCCUGGUGUAGCGGUGAAAUGCGCAGAUAUCAGGAGGAAUACCGAUGGCGAAGGCAGGUCUCUGGGCUGACACUGACGCUCAUGCACGAAAGCGUGGGGAGCAAACAGG